GUGCCAGCAGCCGCGGUAAUACCGGCAGCCCGAGUGAUGGCCGAUCUUAUUGGGCCUAAAGCGUCCGUAGCUGGCCGCGCAAGUCCAUCGGAAAAUCCACCCGCCCAACGGGUGGGCGUCCGGCGGAAACUGCUCGGCUUGGGACCGGAGGACCCGAGGGGUACGUCCGGGGUAGGAGUGAAAUCCCGUAAUCCCGGACGGACCGCCGGUGGCGAAAGCGCCUCGGGAGGACGGAUCCGACGGUGAGGGACGAAAGCUAGGGUCUCGAACCGGAUUAGAAACCCUUGUAGUCC
RNAcentral lists this ribosomal RNA (293 nucleotides) under uncultured bacterium. Its description in RNAcentral is "partial 16S ribosomal RNA". It matches the Rfam family "Archaeal small subunit ribosomal RNA", at positions 455 to 747 of the family's 1478-position model. The record is from RNAcentral.